UACGUAGGGUGCGAGCGUUAAUCGGAAUUACUGGGCGUAAAGCGUGCGCAGGCGGUUCGUUGUGUCGGUGGUGAAAUCCCCGGGCUUAACCUGGGAAUGGCCAUGGAAACUGGCGAACUGGAGUGCGGCAGAGGGGGGUGGAAUUCCGCGUGUAGCAGUGAAAUGCGUAGAGAUGCGGAGGAACACCGGUGGCGAAGGCGGUUCUCUGGGCAUUACCUGACGCUGAGGAGCGAAAGUGUGGGGAGCGAACAGG
RNAcentral lists this ribosomal RNA (253 nucleotides) under uncultured bacterium. RNAcentral describes it as "partial 16S ribosomal RNA". It matches the Rfam family "Bacterial small subunit ribosomal RNA", at positions 524 to 776 of the family's 1533-position model. The record is from RNAcentral.